CAGAUGCUUUCUUUAGGACGCAGAGAAGGUGU
This 32-nucleotide non-coding RNA is filed under the name Mus musculus (house mouse). Lineage: Eukaryota; Metazoa; Chordata; Mammalia; Rodentia; Muridae. The record is from RNAcentral.